RNAcentral lists this ribosomal RNA (764 nucleotides) under uncultured eukaryote. Its description in RNAcentral is "partial Bacterial large subunit ribosomal RNA". It matches the Rfam family "Bacterial large subunit ribosomal RNA", at positions 661 to 1427 of the family's 2925-position model. The record is from RNAcentral.
CGGAGGCGGAGCGAAAGCGAGUCUGAAUAGGGCGUAUAGUCGCUGGGACUAGACACGAAACCCGUGUGAUCUACCCAUGGUCAGGGUGAAGGUGGGGUAAAACCUGCUGGAGGCCCGAACCCGUCAACGUUGAAAAGUUGUGGGAUGAACUGUGGGGAGGGGUCAAAGUCCAAUCAAACCGGGAGAUAGCUUGUUCUCACCGAAAUAACUUUAGGGUUAGCCUCAAGAAGCAACUAUUGGGGGUAGAGCUACUGGAUGCGUGGUGGGCCCGUCUAGGGUACCCCAUGCAACCAAACUCCGAAUACCAAUAGCCAAGACUUGGGAGAUAGACCGCGAGUGAUAAUAUCCGCGGUCAAAAGGAGAAUAAUCCAGAUCGCCAGUUAAGGUCCCUAAAUUAUACUUAGUUUUUAAGGAAGUCAGAUUGCAGUGACAGCCAGGAUGUUGGCUUAGAAGCAGCCAUCAUUUAAAGAGUGCGUAAUAGCUCACUGGUCGAGGAAUCUGGCGCCGAUAAUGAUCGGGGAUAAGUAUAAUACCGAAACUGCGGACUUCAUCUAGUAUGAAGUGGUAGGUGAGCGUUCCAUGGGCGGCGAAGGUUACCGGUAACGGUUGCUGGAGCGUAUGGAAGUGAAUAUGCGGGCUUGAGUAACGAUAAUGCAGGUGAGAAUCCUGCACGCCGUAAGUCUAAGGUUUCCUGGGGAAGGUAAAUCCGCCCAGGGUUAGCCGGGUCCUAAGGCGAGGCCGAAAGGCGUAGUCGAUGGAUAGCA